GAUGAACGCUGGCGGCGUGCUUAACACAUGCAAGUCGAACGGAAAGGCCCUGCUUUUGUGGGGUGCUCGAGUGGCGAACGGGUGAGUAACACGUGAGUAACCUGCCCCUGACUUUGGGAUAACUUCAGGAAACUGGGGCGAAUACCGGAUAGGAGCUCCUGCUGCAUGGUGGGGGUUGGAAAGUUUCGGCGGUUGGGGCUGGACUCGCGGCUUAUCAGCUUGUUGGUGGGGUAGUGGCUUACCAAGGCUUUGACGGGUAGCCGGCCUGGGAGGGUGACCGGCCACAAUGGGACUAAGAGACGGCGCAGACUGCUACGUGAGGCAACGGUGGAGAACAUUGCACAGUGGGCGGAAGCCUGUUGCGACGGCGCCGCGUUCGGGAUGACGGCCUUCGGGUUGUAAACCGCUUUCGCCUGUGACAAAGCCGGAGUGACGGUAAUGGGUAAGGAAGCACCGGCUAACUACGUG
RNAcentral lists this ribosomal RNA (468 nucleotides) under uncultured bacterium. Its description in RNAcentral is "partial 16S ribosomal RNA". It matches the Rfam family "Bacterial small subunit ribosomal RNA", at positions 28 to 507 of the family's 1533-position model. The record is from RNAcentral.